AUAGCUUGAUUGUUGGCUAUACGGUUUUUAGAUGGCCCCGGUAAUCUUUCUCACUCGCCAAAGUUAAAGAAGAUUAUCGGGGUUUUUGCUU
Shigella dysenteriae Sd197 is the source of this 91-nucleotide non-coding RNA. It matches the Rfam family "CopA-like RNA". From Rfam's summary of the family: In several groups of bacterial plasmids, antisense RNAs regulate copy number through inhibition of replication initiator protein synthesis. These RNAs are characterised by a long hairpin structure interrupted by several unpaired residues or bulged loops. The record is from Rfam. NCBI's taxonomy places the organism in Bacteria, Pseudomonadati, Pseudomonadota, Gammaproteobacteria, Enterobacterales, Enterobacteriaceae.